CACUACUGCUUCAAUCGCAAUUGCGGUCUCCUGGUAAUCCUAGUGGGCGUAGUAUACUCAAGGGGAUCUUAAAAGAUGCACGAGCAUCAUAAACAUUAUUGCACAGACGCGCACUUCCGCUCUGGAUUCGUCCUCGUGUGACUCUCAGUUCAAUACCUGGGCAGGAUCGAGAGAAUGAGAGUAUUAGAACGAGUCUUGCCUGCUGCCCAGUCUUAUUAUAUCAAGAGGGGAAGAAUUUCCAACCAGUGAAGGAGCAGACAGGUGCGACAGAUCCUGGCUCCACCCUCUCCGUCACCCUCUCCUCCUGCAUGCACCUUGCCAGCUAACCAGGGGUCAUCUUCUGCUCCUCUCUGCCCUCACUGGGGGGCUGCUCCAACCCAGCCGACGCGAGGAAGCCUUUUUCCCCCAGAACAGCAGGGCAAAGAGCAAUAUGGUUCACCAGCCGUAAAAAACCUGGCGGGAAGCCAACUUUUCUCGUCCACGGUUCCACUGGUGCAUCCCGAAAAUUCACCGGCCAAUUUUGCUGUUUUACCUGGCAACCAGAUAUUUAGAAUAGAACAGGACUUCCCAGUGUCGGGUGGUGAUGUGCAAAAGUGACUCCUGGUACAGUAGGCAUACGUAACCAGCCACAGAUAAAAAAUUUUUUUACCAGCAUUUGGUUGGUGGCUGGUGUUCAUUUCAUACCCUGGUGCUGCAGAACCAUGAACCCAGAGAGGAAGAGCCGUGGUUGAAGGCUGUCCAGAACUCUUCCUGAAUGGCCCCCAGUCCCCAGAGUUUGAAAGGUGUGAAAAUAAGUUUCACCCUGCACAGCCCCCCCCGGGCCACCUCCAUGCCAAGCUACAAAAUUAAUUAUCGCAUUACAUAUCAGUUGUCUGGUUUCCGAAUUAUUGUAAAGUUAGAGCAUUGUUCCUGCGAAGAGAAACGUUGAAAUUCCGCGAGUUUAAAUAGCCCGUUUUUAAAAUCCUGAAUUACUUAAAGCUUGCAGUAGGCAACUGGCUCAACGGCUGCAGUGUUGUGAAAACAUUUUGAAAAUCGUAACACCCGUCGGUCCCGCCCACAGAGAAUGCCAAAUCUGAGGGCACAAACACGGUGCGUGGUGCUGGAUUUCUCUCAUACCAGCUUCUUCUGUGAUUGCCACCAGUUAAGCAUGACAGUUCCCUAAGAACUUUACACAAAUAAAGGCACUUUACACAAUGCGCAUUCUUAUUUAGCUACAGUGCAGUCUGUAAGCAUUUACAUUACAUUACAGGCAUUUAGCAGACCCUCUCACAUAGCAGAGCGAACUCACAUAGCAUUUUACAUUGUAUCCAUUUAUACAGCUGGAUAUAUACUGAAGCAAUGCAGGUUAAGUACCUUGCUCAAGGGUACAACGGCAGUGUCCUUACCCGGGAAUCGAACCUGCGACCUUUCGGUUACAAGCCCAGUUCCUUACCCACUGUGCUACACUCCGUCCUCCGUCCAUUUGGGCAGUGAAGCAGUUUUAAUGUGUAAAGGGCUCUAUUUCCCAGGAUCUCUGUAUAUGGAUGUAAGUGUCCAUAAUGUAAAGCCGACCGUCUGCACUUUAACCUCAUAUCCGUUGUUUCAUUUCAAAUCCAGUGUGCCAGAGUACACAGCCAAAAUAACAAAAGUUGUCACAGUCCGAAUAGCAUGGACUGCACUGUACACCACGUGUGUACACUGCAAGCAAUCUGUAGGGUGAAGUUGCCUACAUAUGUAAUGAAUUGAAGGAAUGCCAUGCAUUCUAGAAAAAAACAACACAAAAAACAAUAUGUGAGAAUAAAUUGAUGAUAAGAAGUCA
Long non-coding RNA from Anguilla rostrata (American eel), 1798 nucleotides. RefSeq lists it as uncharacterized. The transcript has 2 exons. The record is from RefSeq and is a predicted model, not a curated record. NCBI's taxonomy places the organism in Eukaryota, Metazoa, Chordata, Actinopteri, Anguilliformes, Anguillidae.